Molecule: transfer RNA, 71 nt
Organism: Anaerofustis stercorihominis DSM 17244
Lineage: Bacteria; Bacillati; Bacillota; Clostridia; Eubacteriales; Eubacteriaceae
Rfam family: tRNA
About the family: Transfer RNA (tRNA) molecules are approximately 80 nucleotides in length. Their secondary structure includes four short double-helical elements and three loops (D, anti-codon, and T loops).
Source: Rfam
GGCGGCAUAGCCAAGUGGUAAGGCAAGGGUCUGCAACACCCGUAUCCCCAGUUCAAGUCUGGGUGCCGCCU